Molecule: signal recognition particle RNA, 148 nt
Filed under: Nomascus leucogenys (northern white-cheeked gibbon)
Lineage: Eukaryota; Metazoa; Chordata; Mammalia; Primates; Hylobatidae
Description: Metazoan signal recognition particle RNA
Rfam family: Metazoan signal recognition particle RNA
About the family: The signal recognition particle (SRP) is a universally conserved ribonucleoprotein. It is involved in the co-translational targeting of proteins to membranes.
Source: Rfam by way of RNAcentral
GCCAGGUGUGGUAGCCCACACCUGUAAUCCCAGCUACCUGGGAGGCUGAGGCAGGAGAAUUGCUUGAGCCCAGGAGGCAGAGGUUGCAGUGAGCUGAGAUUGCACCACUGCACUCCAGCCUGGGUGAUAAAGCAAGACUCUGUCUCAA